Molecule: ribosomal RNA, 404 nt
Filed under: uncultured bacterium
Lineage: Bacteria
Description: bacterial SSU rRNA
Rfam family: Bacterial small subunit ribosomal RNA
Source: RNAcentral
UGGGGAAUAUUGGGCAAUGGGCGAAAGCCUGACCCAGCCAUGCCGCGUGAGUGAUGAAGGCCUUAGGGUUGUAAAGCUCUUUCGACGGUGAAGAUAAUGACGGUAACCGUAGAAGAAGCCCCGGCUAACUUCGUGCCAGCAGCCGCGGUAAUACGAAGGGGGCUAGCGUUGUUCGGAAUCACUGGGCGUAAAGCGUGCGUAGGCGGCCAUGCAAGUCAGAGGUGAAAGCCCAGGGCUCAACCCUGGAACUGCCUUUGAAACUGCAUGGCUGGAGUAUCGGAGAGGGUGGCGGAAUUCCCAGUGUAGGGGUGAAAUCCGUAGAGACUGGGAGGAACACCGGUGGCGAAGGCGGCCACCUGGACGAUUACUGACGCUGAGGCACGAAAGCGUGGGGAGCAAACAGG